GGAUUAGAUACCCUGGUAGUCCACGCCGUAAACGAUGAGAACUAGACGUUGGGUAUUUAUAUCUGGUGUCGCAGCUAACGCAUUAAGUUCUCCGCCUGGGGAGUACGGCCGCAAGGUUGAAACUCAAAGUAAUUGACGGGGGCCCGCACAAGCGGUGGAGCAUGUGGUUUAAUUCGAUGCAACGCGAAGAACCUUACCUACACUUGACAUCAUCAGAACUUGUUAGAGAUAACUCGGUGCCUUCGGGAACUGAUAGACAGGUGCUGCAUGGCUGUCGUCAGCUCGUGCCG
Molecule: ribosomal RNA, 290 nt
Filed under: uncultured bacterium
Lineage: Bacteria
Description: partial 16S ribosomal RNA
Rfam family: Bacterial small subunit ribosomal RNA
Source: RNAcentral